AAAAGUGGCCUCAUUUCCUGGCGUCAUUCAGAGUGAUGCCAGCCAGAGGCUGCCCUUGAAGAUCGCCAGGGUUCAGGGACUGCCCGUGAAGGAAGGGACUGUCAUCACUGCUCUGCUGGUUUCAGAUUUCAGCCAUCAUAACUUUGUCUACUUGUAUGUGGUAUGAAAACAGAGUGACAGUAAUUUGUGCUUGGUGCUCAUCAGGCACACUGUAAUUGGGGGGAGAGCUUAGGGUCUGCUGGAAUCUAAUUUAAUCGAUGAGCUCCACCAGCAGGCCAAGUUCCCUGGGAGACUGGUUUACAUUCAGCUGUAUUUCCCCAGCACAGGGUUUUGCUUCACAUCCCUGCUCCACAGUCUGUCAGAAGAAGGAUUUGAACAUACAUCUCUGACAUUCAAGAAGGGCGUCAGUAUGUCUCCAUCUUCAAACAAGCUGGGAACAUGGGACAUUUGACAGAGAUUGUUCCUUUGAAGUCAAUACUAAAUUGAGGCCUGUCUGCAAUAUUGAAUUUGUAUUCCAAAGGAAAGAGCUCUUACAGAAAUAUCUAGAGAAACAGUGCCUUUGCUGAAAUGUUCUGUGUUAGUCUCUUGCUAUAUCAGGACCAGGGUGGUAAUGUUGCUGCUAUAAAACCAGUGAGAAGCAUCUACUUUUAAAUGUGUUGGUUUUUGUCUUACUCAUGCUUUGCACCAGGGUACAAAAAGAGAGAUUUUUAUUCUUCAGCAUUUAAAUAUUAAAGGAAAAAAAAUUUGAAAUUACUUACAUUGGUAAUUCCCAAAGAUUUUCCAUGCCAGCAUAAAAAAACUUAGGAAA
This is a long non-coding RNA of Melospiza melodia melodia, 808 nucleotides long. RefSeq lists it as uncharacterized. NCBI's taxonomy places the organism in Eukaryota, Metazoa, Chordata, Aves, Passeriformes, Passerellidae. The transcript has 3 exons. The record is from RefSeq and is a predicted model, not a curated record.